GAUGAACGCUAGCGGGAGGCUUAACACAUGCAAGUCGAGGGGUAACAUGAGGUAGCAAUACUUUGAUGACGACCGGCGCACGGGUGAGUAACGCGUAUGCAACCUACCCUGUACAGGGGGAUAGCCCGGAGAAAUUCGGAUUAAUACCCCAUAAAGAUAUUCAGAGGCAUCUUUGGAUAUUUAAAGUUUCGGCGGUACGGGAUGGGCAUGCGUAACAUUAGCUAGUUGGUAGGGUAACGGCCUACCAAGGCUACGAUGUUUAGGGGUCCUGAGAGGGUGAUCCCCCCA
This 288-nucleotide ribosomal RNA is filed under the name uncultured Bacteroidota bacterium. RNAcentral's name for it is "uncultured Bacteroidetes bacterium partial 16S ribosomal RNA". It matches the Rfam family "Bacterial small subunit ribosomal RNA", at positions 28 to 310 of the family's 1533-position model. Lineage: Bacteria; Pseudomonadati; Bacteroidota. The record is from RNAcentral.